AGUGUCUGAACUCCAUCUCUUUCUAGACAUUUAGCACCUGAAUCAGGUUUGCAAGAAUAUAUCUUCAUCUUUUUAAGAUCCAGAGCACAGAAUGUUCUUUUGCACUUUUACACAAACUGUUUUUCUUUGAAAGAACAGAUCACACGAUGUUGCUACCUAUCUUUCCGAUAACAGCCUUGAAGAGGCCUUGACCAGAAAGUUUGAGAACUGAACUGCAGAGUCCCUUCAGCAUAUUCAUACUACCCAUCUGUCUGGUGAUGAGAGGCUGAGAAUACUCUCAAAUGGAGCAUCUGAGCCAGCAGAAUAAGUCAACAUUUUUUCAGCAUUUAAUAAGGAGAAGAAAGUAAACAGUCAGAUGAAGAGCUGGAUUGAAGAUUUCAAGAGGAGACUCUGCUUGGAUCCCUUACCUAGUGGUCUCAGUGAACACGAGCAGAGUCCUGCUGGAAGACAGGCCCUAAGAGUGCCCAUGCUGUGCUCCAGCCACAGAAGUGUUGAGUUCAUAGGACCAGAUCGCACUGACCAUAAAGUAAAACUCUGCAACAUGCACAGAAUAGAUGAUGUUUUGUCAUCAUCCUCAAAUAUCUGCCAGGGCCACAGGCAUGUAUCAGACAAUAUAUAGUGCCUACAUGGACCACAGAAAUGAGCACUCCACUAACAUAGGCAGUGGAGGUUGGAGAGCUGAUCAAAGGACGACAUUAACAUUACCGUGAGAUAAAUAGCUUUGAUAUGUUGUGCACAUUUUGUGUUGCACAAUUUGCUUAGUAUCAAGCAGAAAUGCUCGUUCAUUUGCCAAAACAGCAAUUGUAAUCAAUUUUUUCUUUUCCUGCAGUCCCUUAUCACAUUUGCUACCCAGAUUCCAAUUUCUUGAGUAAGGAUGCAGCCUUAUAGCAAACUCUUUCACUAUACAGCUCGAUUUAUUUUCAGAACACUAUCUUACUCUGUGAAGGAAUCAAGAUCUGGAAAAAAAAAAAAGAAAGAAAAAAGAAAAAACAAUGAAAAGAUUUGUCUCACUUAGCUUUAGCCAUAUCAAAGUUAGAGAUCUACUCCAGUCACAUUUUCUAAAAAGAAACAAGCAGCUCAUAAAGGUAAUUAUUUCCAUUUAUUUUAGCAUCAUAACCUUCUGGAUUUACAUACAUUUUGAAGUGAUUACAGAGAAAACCUACACAGCUAGCUUAGACUAGACACCUAACUUUUAGAUGGCUGAAGUUAUAAGAAAUAAAAUCAUGUCCAUGUGAUCCUGCUAUUAAAAA
Molecule: long non-coding RNA, 1250 nt
Filed under: Struthio camelus australis
Lineage: Eukaryota; Metazoa; Chordata; Aves; Struthioniformes; Struthionidae
Description: lncRNA (ENSSCUG00000016667.1)
Source: RNAcentral